This is a non-coding RNA of Elaeis guineensis (African oil palm), 658 nucleotides long. The record is from RefSeq and is a predicted model, not a curated record. NCBI's taxonomy places the organism in Eukaryota, Viridiplantae, Streptophyta, Magnoliopsida, Arecales, Arecaceae.
UAAAUGUCCUUAGCAUGCUUGCUAAAUAUGAUUCUUCUGCUACUCUUUGAUGUUCUUAUGCUGAUGCAUGCUAAUUUCAAGAUGAAAAAACUAUACAUCUGAAAGAACAGUUUCGUGCUGAAAUAAGAAAGGAACUUGACAAGAUAGAAAUGAGAUACAGGGACAUGGCUUCUCUUUUGCGUGGAUUAGGCAUACGUGUUGAAGGGGGUGCUUUUCCCUUGUCAUGUGAGUUAGGACAGUGCUCGUGUCUGGAUAGUUAGUGAUCAAAGGUAAGAUUUUGGUGAUCUUGGUGACAUUCCUGGUCAUUAUGUUGCAGCAAACCUCACAUUAUUUGGACACAAUGCUAGAAUCUGGGACUGCUAUAUCUCUGAUUCCAAGGAGAUGAAACGAUGAUUUGAGGAGAUAUCUGAGAACGAGCGUACACGAGAACUAAAAGAUCGUAUCUUUGUGGAGGUGAUGAAAAAAGAUGGACAUGGACGGAUGUGUACUUGGAGUUCGAGCAUGACAAAACGGCGUUUGCAUCAGCAAUCUUAUCAGGCACCAUCAGAGGAGACCAUUAGGAGGAUUCAGGAUGAGCUUCGGAUUGAGUUUGAUGACAAGAUUUUUUACUUGGAGGCACAGCUCCAUCAGAUGCAUGCUCAGAUGGCGAGUGGAUGUU